AGGUGGUUACAGGUUUGUAGCAGCCACGGCGGCGGCGCUCCGGGGCGGCUGUGGCUAGUAGAGGGAGGUUGCCGGAGGUUCGAGAUGUCGCUGGUAAGGGGCCCAAGGGGGACGAGCACCCUGCUUGCCCUCGGGCAGAGAUUAAGGAAGAAAAAUAUGGUAGAGGAGACGGAAAAUGGUGAAAAGAGGCUGCUGGUAGCAUUUGGCCGGCCGGAGCGCGAUCGUCGGUGGCCGGGAGGCACGC
Molecule: long non-coding RNA, 244 nt
Filed under: Ananas comosus (pineapple)
Lineage: Eukaryota; Viridiplantae; Streptophyta; Magnoliopsida; Poales; Bromeliaceae
Description: long non-coding RNA (ACOM_LNC042512)
Source: RNAcentral